RNAcentral lists this ribosomal RNA (258 nucleotides) under uncultured Glomus. RNAcentral's name for it is "partial 18S ribosomal RNA". It matches the Rfam family "Eukaryotic small subunit ribosomal RNA", at positions 624 to 886 of the family's 1831-position model. The record is from RNAcentral. Lineage: Eukaryota; Fungi; Glomeromycota; Glomeromycetes; Glomerales; Glomeraceae.
AAGCUCGUAGUUGAAUUUCGGGGUUAGUAGGUUGGUCAUGCCUCUGGUAUGUACUGGUCUCACUGAUUCCUCCUUCCUUAUGAACCGUAAUGCCAUUAAUUUGGUGUUGCGGGGAAUUUGGACUGUUACUUUGAAAAAAUUAGAGUGUUUAAAGCAAGCUAACGCUUGAAUACAUUAGCAUGGAAUAAUGAAAUAGGACGUUCGAUCUUAUUCUGUUGGUUUCUAGGAUUGACGUAAUGAUUAAUAGGGAUAGUUGGG